CCUACGGGUGGCAGCAGUGGGGGAUAUUGCACAAUGGGGGAAACCCUGAUGCAGCGACGCCGCGUGUGGGAAGACGGUCCUCUGGAUUGUAAACCACUGUCCCCAGGGACGAAGAUGACGGUACCUGGGGAGGAAGCUACGGCUAACUACGUGCCAGCAGCCGCGGUAAUACGUAGGGAGCGAGCGUUGUACGGAAUUACGGGGUGAAAGGGGAGCGUAGGCGGGACUGCAAGUUGGGUGGCAAAUCUACCGGCUCAACCGGUAGCCGCACUCAAAACUGCAGUUCUUGAGUGAAGUAGAGGCAGGCGGAAUUCCUAGUGUAGCGGUGAAAUGCGUAGAUAUUAGGAGGAACACCAGUGGCGAAGGCGGCCUGCUGGGCUUUUACUGACGCUGAGGCUCGAAAGUGUGGGGAGCAAACAGGAUUAGAUACCCCAGUAGUC
Molecule: ribosomal RNA, 440 nt
Filed under: uncultured bacterium
Lineage: Bacteria
Description: partial 16S ribosomal RNA
Rfam family: Bacterial small subunit ribosomal RNA
Source: RNAcentral